This 505-nucleotide ribosomal RNA is filed under the name uncultured Flavobacterium sp. RNAcentral describes it as "bacterial SSU rRNA". It matches the Rfam family "Bacterial small subunit ribosomal RNA", at positions 9 to 513 of the family's 1533-position model. Lineage: Bacteria; Pseudomonadati; Bacteroidota; Flavobacteriia; Flavobacteriales; Flavobacteriaceae. The record is from RNAcentral.
GAGUUUGAUCCUGGCUCAGGAUGAACGCUAGCGGCAGGCUUAACACAUGCAAGUCGAGGGGUAGAGUUAGCUUGCUAACUUGAGACCGGCGCACGGGUGCGUAACGCGUAUGCAAUCUACCUUGUACAGGGGGAUAGCCCAGAGAAAUUUGGAUUAAUACCCCAUAGUGUUAUGAUGUGGCAUCACAUUAUAACUAAAGUUCCAACGGUACAAGAUGAGCAUGCGUCCCAUUAGCUAGUUGGUGUGGUAACGGCAUACCAAGGCAACGAUGGGUAGGGGUCCUGAGAGGGAGAUCCCCCACACUGGUACUGAGACACGGACCAGACUCCUACGGGAGGCAGCAGUGAGGAAUAUUGGUCAAUGGGCGCAAGCCUGAACCAGCCAUGCCGCGUGCAGGAUGACGGUCCUAUGGAUUGUAAACUGCUUUUGUACAGGAAGAAACACUCCCUCGUGAGGGAGCUUGACGGUACUGUAAGAAUAAGGAUCGGCUAACUCCGUGCCAGCC